This 1111-nucleotide long non-coding RNA is filed under the name Olea europaea (common olive). Its description in RNAcentral is "long non-coding RNA (OEUR_LNC005545)". Lineage: Eukaryota; Viridiplantae; Streptophyta; Magnoliopsida; Lamiales; Oleaceae. The record is from RNAcentral.
UCGUUAUCUGUUAAUUAGGUUGUGCAUUGAGGUAAUACAGUCGAUCAAAGAACAGAUGAUGUCCAAAAGGGUAUACACCAGUCUGUAAAUUAGGUUGCACUGUGGUGUACACCUAUCCUGUCAUAUUUCGUGAUAUUAUGUGUCUUACCAUCCUCGAACUCAAGAAAUGAACCGAGGAUAUUAAAAAGCUUUAUAUUAUAACCGUAGGUUGUUUCUCUUUGUGAAUUAGAAUCCCGCAACAUCCCUGAUUGGAUCAACAGUGUUGGUACAUAUUAUCUGGCCGAUGUUCUUCAUUUCUUUUUAUUUUCUCAUCUAAUUAUUAACAUAGUGUGGAAUUUAAUAAUAUUCAGUGGGUGAAAUUUCUUAACCGUGUUUUGAGGACACACAGUCAGAUUUGUUAUCUCACGUUUUCUCUUUCCAUGCAUGUGCAAUCAGUACUAUGGAUUAGAUGAACCGAAUGCAAAGAAACAAGAUUAGAUUUUUAGGCAGCUUGGUCAAACAUGCCUGAUCUACCUUAUAGACCUAAUAUUUAUGCAUCUUCUAUUGCAGCAAUUUUUGAAGGAGAUACUGAAUGAGCUCUGUGUAUACAAUAAAAGAGGAACCAACCAAGGAACGUAUGAGCUCAAGCCAGAGUAUAAGAAAUCUGUUGAAGAUACAGGUGCUGAAUAAUGGCAGUCGUUAUCUGUUAAUUAGGUUGUGCAUUGAGGUAAUACAGUCGAUCAAAGAACAGAUGAUGUCCAAAAGGGUAUACACCAGUCUGUAAAUUAGGUUGCACUGUGGUGUACACCUAUCCUGUCAUAUUUCGUGAUAUUAUGUGUCUUACCAUCCUCGAACUCAAGAAAUGAACCGAGGAUAUUAAAAAGCUUUAUAUUAUAACCGUAGGUUGUUUCUCUUUGUGAAUUAGAAUCCCGCAACAUCCCUCAGUGGAUCAACAGUGUUGGUACAUAUUAUCUGGCCGAUGUUCUUCAUUUCUUUUUAUUUUCUCAUCUAAUUAUUAACAUAGUGUGGAAUUUAAUAAUAUUCAGUGGGUGAAAUUUCUUAACCGUGUUUUGAGGGACACACAGUCAGAUUUGUUAUCUCACGUUUUCUCUUUCCAUGCAUGUGCAAUCAG